This 487-nucleotide ribosomal RNA is filed under the name uncultured Brachybacterium sp. Its description in RNAcentral is "partial 16S ribosomal RNA". Lineage: Bacteria; Bacillati; Actinomycetota; Actinomycetes; Micrococcales; Dermabacteraceae. The record is from RNAcentral.
CACGUAGUUAGCCGGCGCUUCUUCUGCAGGUACCGUCACUUUCGCUUCUUCCCUACUGAAAGAGGUUUACAACCCGAAGGCCGUCAUCCCCCACGCGGCGUCGCUGCAUCAGGCUUUCGCCCAUUGUGCAAUAUUCCCCACUGCUGCCUCCCGUAGGAGUCUGGGCCGUGUCUCAGUCCCAGUGUGGCCGGUCGCCCUCUCAGGCCGGCUACCCGUCAUCGCCUUGGUGAGCCAUUACCUCACCAACAAACUGAUAGGCCGCGAGUCCAUCCCCCACCGAAAAACUUUCCACAACACACCAUGCGGUGCGAAGUCAUAUCCGGUAUUAGCCCCGAUUUCCCGAGGUUAUCCCGAAGAGGGGGCAGGUUACUCACGUGUUACUCACCCGUUCGCCACUAAUCAGACAAGGCAAGCCCUGUCGUCAUCGUUCGACUUGCAUGUGUUAAGCACGCCGCCAGCGUUCGUCCUGAGCCAGGAGUCAAACUCU